AGUGAACGCUGGCGGUAGGCCUAACACAUGCAAGUCGAACGGCAGCACAGAGGAGCUUGCUCCUUGGGUGGCGAGUGGCGGACGGGUGAGGAAUACAUCGGAAUCUACUCUGUCGUGGGGGAUAACGUAGGGAAACUUACGCUAAUACCGCAUACGACCUACGGGUGAAAGCAGGGGAUCUUCGGACCUUGCGCGAUUGAAUGAGCCGAUGUCGGAUUAGCUAGUUGGCGGGGUAAAGGCCCACCAAGGCGACGAUCCGUAGCUGGUCUGCGAGGAUGAUCGGACACACUGGAACGGAGACACGGUCCAGACUCCUAAGGGGGGCAGCAGUGGGGAAUAUUGGACAAGGGGCGCAAGCCUGAUCCAGCCAUACCGCGUGGGUGAAGAAGGCCUUCGGGUUGUAAAGCCCUUUUGUUGGGAAAGAAAUCCAUCUGGUUAAUACCCGGGUGGGAUGACGGUACCCAAAGAAUAAGCACCGGCUAACUUCGUGCCAGCAGCCGCAGUAA
This 506-nucleotide ribosomal RNA is filed under the name uncultured bacterium. RNAcentral's name for it is "partial 16S ribosomal RNA". It matches the Rfam family "Bacterial small subunit ribosomal RNA", at positions 29 to 523 of the family's 1533-position model. The record is from RNAcentral.